ACUCCUACGGGAGGCAGCAGUGGGGAAUAUUGCACAAUGGGCGCAAGCCUGAUGCAGCCAUGCCGCGUGUAUGAAGAAGGCCUUCGGGUUGUAAAGUACUUUCAGCGGGGAGGAAGGCAAUACGGUUAAUAACCGUGUUGAUUGACGUUACCCGCAGAAGAAGCACCGGCUAACUACGUGCCAGCAGCCGCGGUAAUACGGAGGGUGCAAGCGUUAAUCGGAAUUACUGGGCGUAAAGCGCACGCAGGCGGUCUGUCAAGUCGGAUGUGAAAUCCCCGGGCUCAACCUGGGAACUGCAUUCGAAACUGGCAGGCUUGAGUCUUGUAGAGGGGGGUAGAAUUCCAGGUGUAGCGGUGAAAUGCGUAGAGAUCUGGAGGAAUACCGGUGGCGAAGGCGGCCCCCUGGACAAAGACUGACGCUCAGGUGCGAAAGCGUGGGGAGCAAACAGGAUUAGAUACCCUUGUAGUCCC
This 470-nucleotide ribosomal RNA is filed under the name uncultured organism. RNAcentral describes it as "partial 16S ribosomal RNA". It matches the Rfam family "Bacterial small subunit ribosomal RNA", at positions 335 to 797 of the family's 1533-position model. The record is from RNAcentral.